CUGUAUUUUGCAUCUUGUAGUGUGUGUUCUAAAAGCGGCUGGUGCAUCUGGAGCACCAAUUCCACCAUUUCAUAGGGUAUAGCUCAUAUUUUUUUACUGUAUUGUGUUCAAGAAGAAGCAUACCUAUCUCUUUCACAAUGAUUAGGCAACCACAGCCCCUUUCAGAAGACUCAAAAUCACCAUGUGUAUUGUGAAGAUGUGCCUUUGUAACGUCGUAAUAUAUUUAUUUGUUUGUUUGUUGUUAGAGUUGAAUUUUUUCUUUCUUAGAAGCCAAGUGUUAUUUAUGCUAUGCAGAAUGUGCAGAUUUGUUUGGUGCCAUCUUUUCCAAUGCUAAGCAGCCAAGUAUUCCUUGCUAGUACAAUGUAUUGUUGAUGAUUAUUUAAGUACACUUUGUCGUGUUGUGCUCAAAACUGAAUGGUUUGUUUGGUGCCAUCUCUUCCAGGAAAUGAAGAUUGAUGAGCUAGAAGGACUAUAACUGGAUGCAAAGGGAACUAACUUUUCUUUCAUGUGCUAUCAAGAUAACAAACCUGAUGCAAGCUUUGGUAGCGAUGCGUAUUCAGCGGGGAUCACUUUAGUACUUCAUACUUGGGGCUUGCUGUUCAUGUACUAGAAAAUUAUUAUGUCAUGUUAUGUGCCAAGUUAUAUAUGUAUGUCUCUUGUGUACUCAAAUUAGGAUGGAUGACAUGCACUCAAAUUAGGAUGGAUCACUUCAGUCCUUCAUACUCGGCUUGCUGGUUUUCUGUAUGGUUGGGCAACAACAAUCUGCACUGCUUACAAAUUGUGCUGCUGCAGUAUAUGGAAGCAUCAAUCACCUGAAAUCUGGAGCAUUUUUAACAUGAAGUUCUCCUGAAAAAACUUGUAUUCAGAAUGCAGAUUUGUGUCACGGACCUAUGAUGUACUUUGUGUCGUAAUUAUUUUAAACUCCACAAAACAGUUCUUGAGGACACCACGCUCUUGCAGUCUGAUGUGAUCACAUAUUUAUUAGAGAUGCU
RNAcentral lists this long non-coding RNA (992 nucleotides) under Triticum aestivum (bread wheat). Its description in RNAcentral is "long non-coding RNA (TAES_LNC014375)". Lineage: Eukaryota; Viridiplantae; Streptophyta; Magnoliopsida; Poales; Poaceae. The record is from RNAcentral.